This is a long non-coding RNA of Mastomys coucha (southern multimammate mouse), 502 nucleotides long. RefSeq lists it as uncharacterized. The transcript is spliced from 2 exons. NCBI's taxonomy places the organism in Eukaryota, Metazoa, Chordata, Mammalia, Rodentia, Muridae. The record is from RefSeq and is a predicted model, not a curated record.
UUGCCUAGAGAAACCUCCUGUUAGCUUAUCUUUCAGUUGACCCUCAGAAUAAAACAAUAAACAUCAAAGCAAUUCUGAUUCUCUCUACUUCAGUGUGGACUUCAAGGUGAUGAAUAUAACACAUAAGAUCCAGAUAAAAAAGAUCCAGACCUGGAGCUUCUGAUGCCACAGCAUGACCAAAGCCGAGCAUGCCAAGAAAGUGCUUCGUCUCCAGUGCGCUGCUCAGUCAAUCAGUUAACACCGGGUGUCAUCAGUAUGUAAGGCAUGUAAGAACUACUGUAUUGAUGCAUUCACUCAGCCGUGGGGAGCGCUGCACAAAAUCACCGAACAUGGCAGGAAUCAUUUAUUUCUGUGAAGGGAAUCAGUCCUAAUCUUGGAAAGCUUGCAGCCCUUGGCUUCUGUCUGCUUGACUUUGGCAUUAACCUUCAGAACACGAACAUGACGGGGUUUGGGCAAAUCCAAGAAAAAAAUAGAUAGAAGAAUAAAUCUCUUCAAAUGGGAA